GAUGAAGAACGCAGCGAAAUGCGAUAAGUAAUGCGAAUUGCAGAAUUCAGUGAGUCAUCGAAUCUUUGAACGCACAUUGCGCCCUGUGGUAUUCCGCAGGGCAUGCCUGUUCGAGCGUCAUUUCAACCCUCAAGCUCUGCUUGGUGUUGGGCCCUGCCCGCUGCGGCCGGCCCUAAAGACAGUGGCGGUGCCGCCUGGCCCUGAGCGUAGUACAUCUCUCGCUCCAGUGCCCGGUGGUAGCCUGCCAGAACCCCAACUCUCGUGGGUGACCUCGGAUCAGGUAGGGAUACCCGCUGAACUUAAGCAUAUCAAUAAGCGGAGGA
This 323-nucleotide unclassified non-coding RNA is filed under the name soil metagenome. Its description in RNAcentral is "partial contains 5.8S ribosomal RNA, internal transcribed spacer 2, and large subunit ribosomal RNA". The stretch from base 1 to 120 matches the Rfam family "5.8S ribosomal RNA", at positions 35 to 154 of the family's 154-position model. The record is from RNAcentral.